GGGGAUAUACCUCAGUUGGUAGAGUACUUGCCUCACCAUGCAUGAGGCCCUGGGUUCUAUCCCCAGCACCACA
This 73-nucleotide transfer RNA is filed under the name Marmota monax (woodchuck). RNAcentral describes it as "tRNA.Undet". The record is from RNAcentral. Lineage: Eukaryota; Metazoa; Chordata; Mammalia; Rodentia; Sciuridae.